UGAAAAUCUUAUUUUCCAAUUUCUCAAAUCUCAAGGACAAGUUCUUCAGUUCGUAGCAAAACAAAAAUCAGAGCUUAUCUCUGAUCAAUAUAUAUUAUAGGCAACGAAUCUGAAACUAAUAAUAGCAACUCAGACAUACUACUCUCUUAACAUAAAUCUUGUUCUUGGUGGUGGUUUCAAAUUCAAAUCCAUGGAUAAUGAGUCAGAGAGACUUAACAAGUCAGCACCAGAAACGGAGGAGGAAGAAGAGUUCAAGUCAACCUUGCGUUCAGCUCCAUCAUUUGAGAUAUACAACACCUCCCAUGGAGAGUUUGGAGAAGAUGAAACCUACCCUGGAGUGGUUUUGUUGAAGAGAAGGGAGAGCCAUGGCAGUGCUGAAUUCACCUUUGGUGGUGGUGGCAGAAAGAGGAUGGAAUUGAUUGAAGAAGAUGCAGAGAAUGAGAGAAUUGGUGAAAAAGAGAAAGAAGAUGAUGAUGACGAUGAUGUUGUUGAUCUUGAACCACCAAGCCCACCCAUGUAUCUUGCAGCAGGGCUUGGUGUUGAUGCAACUGGCUUUGAUGCUAAUGCUGUGGUUGGGUUUGAAAACUCUCUCACUCAUGAUGAUGCGCUUGUUCCGAAUUUGCAGGAGUCUGAGGAUCUUGAAGGCUAUUACAAGAGGAUGGUUGAUGAGUAUCCUUACCACCCUUUGAUUCUCAAGAAGCAUGCCCAGAUUCUGAAAUCUAAGGGAAAUCUUGAAGAGGCUGCUGAGUACUUUUAUCGCGCAACACUAGCAGAACCUAAUGAUGGUGAAGCCCUAAUGGAAUAUGCAAAGCUUUUAUGGGAACAUCAUCAUGACAAGGAUAGGGCAGUGGUCUAUUUUGAACGUGCAGUUCAAGCUGCUCCUAAAGACAGUCAUGUCCUUGCAGCAUAUACUAGUUUUCUCUGGGAGACAGAUGACGAUGACAAUGAUGUUGGAAAUGAUCAAACUCAGAGUGAUAAGGAAAAACUAAAGACUGAGCCUGUCAAGCCUUCCAAUGAAGGAAGUUACCAAAUUCGUCCAUUCGUGCAUAUUUCAACAGGACAAGAGAUUGAUAUAGCAGAUAUUAACACAGUUGAUUGGAGCGGGGAUAGUGAUGUGGCAGAUUAUUUAAGAACGUUGGUUGAGGAGAAUCCUAAUAAUCUAUUGGUUCUGAAAAAGUAUGCUCAGUUUCUAUUUCAGUCCAAAGAUCCAGAAGCAGCCGAGGAUUUCUACUCGCGUGCAGUCUUAGCCGAUCCCAGUGAUGGUGAAAUGAUAUCGGAAUAUGCUAGGCUUGUGUGGGAACUUCAUCAUGAUCAGGAAAAGGCUUCAUCUUUGUUUGAGCAAGCAGUUCAAGCUACACCUGGGAAUAGCAAUGUUCUUGCAGCAUAUACUUGCUUUUUGUGGGAACUAGAAGAUGGAGAAAGCUGAUGUAGUUCAAGGUAGUGGUGAUAUUCCAGAGAUCUUUUUGACAGAAAAUCCCAUACCUGUUGACAAAUAUUCAAGAGAAGGUGCUAACCAUGCUUGAGAAGUGUUUCGGACCCUGCCCUGGUUAGUUGAUGCACCUUAUUUACUUCAAGCUAUUAGAACUGAUCAUGGCUUCACAUGACUGAUGAGUGCAAGAAUAAAUGAAAUAAAGCCGAAGACUUAACAAA
RNA transcript from Arachis duranensis, 1650 nucleotides. RefSeq lists it as uncharacterized. The record is from RefSeq and is a predicted model, not a curated record. NCBI's taxonomy places the organism in Eukaryota, Viridiplantae, Streptophyta, Magnoliopsida, Fabales, Fabaceae. The transcript is spliced from 7 exons.